AUGUUUUCGUUAUAUAUAUUAUUUGUUCAUGUAUCUGUCAUUUUUUUUUACACCUUUUUUUUUUAAUUUAGGUCCUCUUAGUUAGAAAAUGGUAAUAACAGAAUAAAAUAAAAACAACAAAAUAAGUCACAGGCCACAUCAAUAAAUUUCAAACACAUACUAAAACGGGCAAUUUCUAAACAUCAAAACCAUACGAUGAUGAAAGGAAUUCACAAUCAAAAACGAACGCCUAAAUAAAAGCCCACUACCACACGGCAAAAAAGGGCCAACUAUUCUAAGUCCAAUAUCCCAUUAACCCAAAACCGAAGCAGUACACAGAAUUAAACAAUGAAACGAAAGCCCAAUAAAGACAUAAAAAAGCAACUACUGGAGAAGUUAUUCAGGCACUAUUAGAAAAAGAAAAUUCUCCACAUUUGAAUGCAUUACAUUAAAAGAGAGAAAGCAGUUUCAGAUUUCGCAUUAAUAUAUAUAUAUUACAAAAUGAGUGAAACCAAUCAGAAUUGGGAUAUGGUAGGGAUAUCCUCCAAGCAGAAUAGGGAAAAUUAACAAUAGCACAAAACUUAAAUGUGUACAGGAUCAAGAUUCUUUAUGACAAAACAGAAAAAUCCGAAGCAUGAUGUUCAAAAAACAUAAAAGCAGUUUCAGAUUUCGAAUUAAUAUAUAUAAUACAAGAUCAGUGGAACCAAUCAAUCUAGNNNN
RNAcentral lists this long non-coding RNA (699 nucleotides) under Gossypium raimondii (Peruvian cotton). Its description in RNAcentral is "long non-coding RNA (GRAI_LNC011301)". The record is from RNAcentral. Lineage: Eukaryota; Viridiplantae; Streptophyta; Magnoliopsida; Malvales; Malvaceae.